UUAUUAUUAUACUUUAAGUUGUAGGGUACAUGUGCAUAACGUGCAGGUUUGUUACAUAUGUAUACUUGUGCCAUGUUGGUGUGCUGCACAUACAGACAUUUUUCAAUGCAGCCUGGCCAGUGUCAGGGGUGGGGGUCAGAGGAUGAAUAAUGCCUCCUGGGAAUGUCAGGAAAAUGUCACAGAGGAGGAGACCUGAGAGCUGGGUCUUGAAGAAUGAGUAGGAGUUUGCCAGGGAAAGAAUACAGGAGAGUAGGAUAGACAGAAAUAAACACAGAUAGAAUCACACUGUUCUGAAAGAGGCUGGCAUUCUUGGGGACCCUAAGAAGGCUCAUGUGGCAGAAGGGCAGGGUCACAGUUGAGGACAAGCAAGAGAUAAGGCUGGAGAGAGAAGCUGGGGAUAGAUGGAGAGGCUCACCUAUUCCCAGCCAAGACAUUUCAACAGACUCCCGUAGGAAUCACAGCCAGAAGAGAAUUUUCACCGGGGAUCAAAUUGGCUUUUUAGGAAGCUCACUUUGGCUGAGGCAAGGAGAGUUUCUCCUCUGAGUUCAUGGGCCAUCUCCUCUGUUAGUAUCGACACGUCCUCUCCUCAAUGUCUCUCUCUUUCUCUACAUUCUCUUCUCUCUCUCCCUCCCCCGCCCCAUGUUUUCAUAUCUGGAUAUCUCUUUUCUGCUUGUGGAUUUCUUUCCAUUUUUCUCUCAAGACAUCACUCCUUGAAAAUGUCCCUCAACCCUUUCCAUCUUACUUGUGCCCAAACAGCUUUGAUUCCAUCUUCAGGACUCAUUCAUCUCCACCAGGCUGGAGUCCUUCAUAAAGAAGUAACACAAGAUUUCCUCUUGAACAACAAGCUCUUCCGGGCUUCACCAGUUACAGAUGAGAAGCCUGGAGGAAGGGGAGUAUCUGAGCCACCCUCUACCUGGCCCAGAAAGAGUGAGCCACCACCCUCCAAGACCUGCAUGGAUCCAAUGAAGCAGAAACACCAUGCUCUCCUCUCAGGCAUCCUGAUGCCACUCACAAUGUGAAAGGGGCCAAUGGCUCAGAAGCCACUGCCCUUCCAGCCUCCUCCAGCAAAUCCUAAUGCCCAGUUCUCAUGCCGAUGACCUUCCACUCUGAAAUGCUUCCUGGCAUCCACCCAUCCUCCCAGGAGCUGGACAACCAGGUCAAGGAGAAAACAGCCCCUCUACCACGCUGAGCCAGGGACCCCUCUCCAGGACAAUUCUCUUCCCUGAGACAAGAGGGUCAAACUGCUCUUCUAGAUAUGACCUCAGAGAUGUGCAACCAGGGCCCUGGACCAAUUUAUCACCACGGGGCUAUAAUUAGGUUUGUUAACAUACAGUCUAGUGUAGUCUUGUUGACUAGGAACUUAAUCACGUUACUAUUGAGUUCCUGUACGCAUUGCUCGGGGUGACUGUUUUACUUGUAGAGUUAUAGCCAAGCCCAACGGGAGGAAAUUAGCUUUGGACACAAGUUUGGAGGGGGGUUCUUUUUCCUCUUGACUUUGUCUCUCUCUCUCCCCCCUUCCAUGUGAAAAUAUUUAGCAAACAGUGACAAUGAUGAAAAACAGUAGGAAACAAAAUGUUCUACAUUAGUAUAAAACAUGAAAAAUGCAGAAGGACCCUUAGCGGUACAACAUGUGUUAUGCUGGCUGGCAGUCCAUUAGCUCUGAUAGACAUUUCACUUACCUAAGUCAAAUAUAACAGUCGAGUAUUCAUUAAUAUAAGAAGGGGCUGUGGAAUCAGUGCUACCAUCUGGCUGGGCCGACAGAAUAAUCUACAACUCAUGAUUAGGUCUAAGGAGUGGGGUUUCAC
Macaca fascicularis (crab-eating macaque) is the source of this 1805-nucleotide long non-coding RNA. The record is from Ensembl. Lineage: Eukaryota; Metazoa; Chordata; Mammalia; Primates; Cercopithecidae.